This 719-nucleotide ribosomal RNA is filed under the name Bacillus infantis. Its description in RNAcentral is "bacterial SSU rRNA". It matches the Rfam family "Bacterial small subunit ribosomal RNA", at positions 51 to 754 of the family's 1533-position model. Lineage: Bacteria; Bacillati; Bacillota; Bacilli; Caryophanales; Bacillaceae. The record is from RNAcentral.
AUACAUGCAGUCGAGCGGACGGAUGGGAGCUUGCUCCCUGAAGUCAGCGGCGGACGGGUGAGUAACACGUGGGCAACCUGCCUGUAAGACUGGGAUAACUUCGGGAAACCGGAGCUAAUACCGGAUAAUGCAUAACCUCUCAUGAGGUUAUGCUGAAAGAUGGUUUCGGCUAUCACUUACAGAUGGGCCCGCGGCGCAUUAGCUAGUUGGUGAGGUAACGGCUCACCAAGGCAACGAUGCGUAGCCGACCUGAGAGGGUGAUCGGCCACACUGGGACUGAGACACGGCCCAGACUCCUACGGGAGGCAGCAGUAGGGAAUCUUCCGCAAUGGACGAAAGUCUGACGGAGCAACGCCGCGUGAGUGAUGAAGGUUUUCGGAUCGUAAAACUCUGUUGUUAGGGAAGAACAAGUGCCGGAGUAACUGCCGGCACCUUGACGGUACCUAACCAGAAAGCCACGGCUAACUACGUGCCAGCAGCCGCGGUAAUACGUAGGUGGCAAGCGUUGUCCGGAAUUAUUGGGCGUAAAGCGCGCGCAGGCGGUCUCUUAAGUCUGAUGUGAAAGCCCACGGCUCAACCGUGGAGGGUCAUUGGAAACUGGGGGACUUGAGUGCAGAAGAGGAAAGUGGAAUUCCACGUGUAGCGGUGAAAUGCGUAGAGAUGUGGAGGAACACCAGUGGCGAAGGCGACUUUCUGGUCUGUAACUGACGCUGAGGCGC